CCUACCAUGCAGUCGAGCGAUGAAGCUCCUUCGGGAGUGGAUUAGCGGCGGACGGGUGAGUAACACGUGGGUAACCUGCCUCAUAGAGAGGGAUAGCCUUCCGAAAGGAAGAUUAAUACCUCAUAAGAUUGUAGUUUCGCAUGAGACGGCAAUAAAAGGAGCAAUCCGCUAUGAGAUGGACCCGCGUCGCAUUAGCUAGUUGGUAAGGUAAUGGCUUACCAAGGCGACGAUGCGUAGCCGACCUGAGAGGGUGAUCGGCCACAUUGGGACUGAGACACGGCCCAGACUCCUACGGGAGGCAGCAGUGGGGAAUAUUGCACAAUGGGGGAAACCCUGAUGCAGCAACGCCGCGUGAGUGAUGACGGUCUUCGGAUUGUAAAACUCUGUCUUUGGGGACGAUAAUGACGGUACCCAAGGAGGAAGCCACGGCUAACUACGUGCCAGCAGCCGCGGUAAUACGUAGGUGGCAAGCGUUGUCCGGAUUUACUGGGCGUAAAGGGAGCGUAGGUGGAUAUUUAAGUGGGAUGUGAAAUACUCGGGCUUAACCUGAGUGCUGCAUUCCAAACUGGAUAUCUAGAGUGCAGGAGAGGAAAGUGGAAUUCCUAGUGUAGCGGUGAAAUGCGUANAUAUUAGGAAGAACACCGGUGGCGAAGGCGACUUUCUGGACUGUAACUGACACUGAGGCUCGAAAGCNUGGGGAGCGAACAGGAUUANAUACCCUGGUAGUCCACGCCGUAAGCGAUGAAUACUANGUGUAGGGGUUGUCAUGACCUCUGUGCCNCCNCUAACNCAUUAANUAUUCCNCCUGGGGAGUACGGUCNCAANAUUAAAACUCAAAGGANUUGACGGGGGCCCCC
RNAcentral lists this ribosomal RNA (857 nucleotides) under uncultured Clostridium sp. RNAcentral's name for it is "bacterial SSU rRNA". It matches the Rfam family "Bacterial small subunit ribosomal RNA", at positions 47 to 924 of the family's 1533-position model. Lineage: Bacteria; Bacillati; Bacillota; Clostridia; Eubacteriales; Clostridiaceae. The record is from RNAcentral.